Molecule: ribosomal RNA, 496 nt
Filed under: uncultured bacterium
Lineage: Bacteria
Description: partial 16S ribosomal RNA
Rfam family: Bacterial small subunit ribosomal RNA
Source: RNAcentral
GAUGAACGCUGGCGGCGUGCCUAAUACAUGCAAGUCGAGCGAACGGACGAGAAGCUUGCUUCUCUGAUGUUAGCGGCGGACGGGUGAGUAACACGUGGAUAACCUACCUAUAAGACUGGGAUAACUUCGGGAAACCGGAGCUAAUACCGGAUAAUAUUUUGAACCGCAUGGUUCAAAAGUGAAAGACGGUCUUGCUGUCACUUAUAGAUGGAUCCGCGCUGCAUUAGCUAGUUGGUAAGGUAACGGCUUACCAAGGCAACGAUGCAUAGCCGACCCGAGAGGGUGAUCGGCCACACUGGAACUGAGACACGGUCCAGACUCCUACGGGAGGCAGCAGUAGGGAAUCUUCCGCAAUGGGCGAAAGCCUGACGGAGCAACGCCGCGUGAGUGAUGAAGGUCUUCGGAUCGUAAAACUCUGUUAUUAGGGAAGAACAUAUGUGUAAGUAACUGUGCACAUCUUGACGGUACCUAAUCAGAAAGCCACGGCUAACUACGU